Molecule: long non-coding RNA, 1940 nt
Organism: Siniperca chuatsi (mandarin fish)
Lineage: Eukaryota; Metazoa; Chordata; Actinopteri; Centrarchiformes; Sinipercidae
Exons: 4
Source: RefSeq, a predicted model, not a curated record
ACACACACACACACACACACACACGCACACACACAGUUUGUUAGUUGUUUGUACAUCAGAUAUCUCGGAGCCUCUCUGCAGCACAUGAACGCACCAUCAGACAGCUGGUUGACUUUUACUUCCAGGAAUGACGUCAUUGCCAACAAAAUGCUGAUUGCAGCAAGUUUCACAUGAUAUUUAAAGAAAUAAACUGAAACCAACGGUCGCCUGGAGUGGGUUGAGAAAGAGCUGUUUUUGGUUUUGAAUGUCUGAACUAUAUCCUUGGGUGUUACAGAGAACUGAAGUGAAACCAGGUUCAACUUCCAUGUUCUUCCAGCCCUACAAUAUGACCUACAAGGCCUCUGACCUACUACAAGGCUGAUUGCAGCCUGAAAUCCUCUGGUAGUUCUUUGUAAUUCCCAGGUCUAGACUAAAAACCAGAGAAGACCGGGUCAAGGAGGAAUCUCAAUGACCUGCACAUUAUAUAAGAACUGGAUUUUGAUUCAUCGUUUUUAUUGCAAAAUUGUAUUGUUAUUUAUUCUUAUUUAUAUUUUAUUGUACAACAAGUAGUUCCGACCAAGCAAUCUGAUUGGUCAACUAGACAUUUAGAACGUGCUCAAAUCAGCAUGACACAACACCGGGCUCAUCACUAAAAAUAUUACUCCGCCAGGGUGAUAGCAGUUUUGUGAUCGCAGUGAAAAUGUUGUUUUUGAAAUUUAAACGCCAACAAACAUGGAUUGAUGCAGAACAUUUCGUUAUAUAAAUAAUUGGAAAUUCGACCUUUGGACUUCACAGCGCCCUGAAGUUAUUGGAAAUAUUUCACGUGGAAACUGUUCCGCCUUGAUGUUCCGGCUUCCUCCAUCAGCUGCGCCGAUGUUUGAUUGAACAUGUUACAUAGCCAAAUGUUAACCCUGAAGGCGGACGGAGGAAACUCUGCCCUACAGAUCAUCUUUCGGAAGUAAAAUCUUGCUGCCGUUUCCACGGAGAUAACCGGAGGAAAACUGAGAAGCAUGAGACGUAACGAGGACACAUGAACCCGAGACACUGCAGUGCUGUGAUGUCAUCAAGCAUCAUUGCUUUUCUGCUGUUCUGUUUCCACCUGAAGGCACCACAGGGGCUGAUGGUACUUGUCCACAGGAUCCGUCAUUUCCACGCUUUCCAUUCAUUGUCUAUGUAGAAAGCCCUGCAAAGCCUUCUGGUAGCGUAGCAUUGCGUUUCAACUCAUUUGCAUAAAGUUGAAUCUAAGCUACUUUAUGUAAAUUAGGGGCGUCCUCUGCAAAACUCCCAAAAACGUUUAAACUAACCACUGUCGAUCUAAAAUGAAGACAGAUUCAGAUUCAGCAACUAGACUAAAAAAAGUUUUCAGAAACACAUUUCGGUGAAUUAUUUUCAUAAUAUAAGAAAGUUUCCAAACGAGCCGCCAUGUUGGUCCGGUUCGAAAUCCGGGAGCAGACAGCCCACGAGUGAAAGCGUUCGUCCAAUCAGGUGCAGCCAGGAAGUGCUUCCUGUUGUGUUUCAGGUUUACACAAAAAGCAGGUAUUUCUGUUGUCACCAUAACAACAGAAACACAAAGCUAUGUGGACGAUAAACAGCUGAAUCAGAGAAGACAGGAAGGAGCUUCAACCUGCUGACACCAAACUCUGUCAAAAGCCUGCGGACAUAAAAACGGAAGGAGAGAAGUUGCCUACAACUCCCAAAAUGCAUUUCGUUUAGGAUCAAUUCCGAUGAAGCAGCCUGCAGUCAGUCCGCAGGUCACAGUGAACCCUGAGGCGGUCUGAUCUGAAACCUUCCAGCUCUGAAUACAAUUGAAAUAAGUCAGUUAGCAUUUUCUGAACGCAGCUCCCCUGUCUGACUGAGGACACACCUAGAUGAACAGACAGGGACUGCUGAUGAAGACGAUGUCGCUCAGUGAGCGACUGUCACACUUGUGUGCUCGAUAAAUAAAGAUUAUUAUUAUGUUA